RNAcentral lists this long non-coding RNA (5624 nucleotides) under Triticum aestivum (bread wheat). Its description in RNAcentral is "long non-coding RNA (TAES_LNC003500)". The record is from RNAcentral. Lineage: Eukaryota; Viridiplantae; Streptophyta; Magnoliopsida; Poales; Poaceae.
GUUUUUUUUUUUGUGAGGCGGCAGCCCCGAUUUGUUUAAUCUCGCGCCUGAACAAUGAUCAUAGCAGCAUGAUAGUGGGGGGGGGGGAAUCCCAGGAUUGGAUCGUAGCAGUACUCCUAACCAUGUUCGCAAUUCCAGCUCAUGUUCUGCCGUGUCGAGUUUUACCGGAUUGAAUCAACGACCCGAAAUUUAACCGUCCAACAAAAACUAACUCAAUUCGUUACCGUAUAUGAAUUCCACCGCUUUUCAAAAAAUCGCAAAAUGCAACCCAUUCUUUUGUUAAAAUUCACACGAACUAUGAUCAAAAUGGCACUUUUUUGCUGAAUUUUGUGAAAAUUUUACCCAAAUUUUGUCAAAUUUACAUGAACUAUGAUCAAAUCGACACAUUUUCUCUCUUGUAGGCUACCAAAACCUUUCGAACACAUGCUACUCGUAUCUUAAGCCAUAAUUAUAUGUGAUAGCAUUCUUGAGACGGGCGGGACACAAGGGUCAUGGGAAUGAGUAAGGUCUGGGGGCGGUGAAUUUUCUACUAAUGUUGUAUUGCGUCUACUUUUAUUCUAUCGUCUCACUUAUGAAUAGCUGGCACUUCGGGCUCGAGAGUGACGUGAGCAUAAGUAUUUUAUUUUUCAGUAUUUUUUAGUGUCUCGUCGGAUGUGAUGUGUGAGACCGAAGUUCGAUAUGCACAAGCAUGGGUGGAUGGACGAGUGGAAUAGACAACCUUAGUUUGACAAAUGGCCAAUUGUAGUAAUCUAAACCCUAGUAAUGAAAACCUCAUUUUUUCCUUGUUUGGGUUAGAAAAAGGGGUCGAUGGCUCUUUUUCAAGUAAAACAAGAUAUUCAAGAUAGUACGCUUUUAUAAAAAAGCAUGAUUUCUGAAGAAAAUAGUAUAUCUUAAUAGAGAUACAACCGAGCUUUCAGCACUAGAAAGCCAGAUAAGCAUAUUUUGCAAACGCUAGGUCAGAUAGAAAGCGCGUAAACAUGCGGGUCAUAUAGAAUUGUCUUUAAUCAAACUUAGCCCAUCUCUAACAAAUCCAUGUAGUAUAUUCCCUCGUCUUAUCCAUGUCCUCCGAAAAACUAUUUUAGAGGAUUAAACUCUGGAUUUCAAUAACGAUCUAAUGAUCGAUCGUGGGCUGGAAUGAACGAAAGGUUCGCGAUGAGGAAUUCCCCUGCUCGAACAUUUUCGUUCGAUACGACCCCCGCCCCAGCGUACCGUGUGCGCAAAACCCACGUCAGCUAGGCCCUCUACUAGGCCUCCUGCCCAACACGAUUCCCUUUGCACAUAGAAUAAAAAAGUGAAAAUUGUCCAAUAUACAAAAACAAAAAAAAUCACACUGGCACAUGUAGUAAGUGUUACCAUGGAGUGUAUAAAAAAUUAAUCGUCAUCUUAUAUACAAAAACUUGCCGAUAUCUAGCACAUUAAAAAAAUCAUGCAUGGCAAAAUUGCCACGAAAAUAUAGAGGAAUAAAAAUUGUAGAAAAUUUUCCAUGAUGUAGGUCAUAACAAAAAAAUACAACAUGUGUGGUAAGAAACUUCAUAUUUAAAAUUGAGCUAUCAUGCUUUAGGUCAAUAGAUAUUAGAUUAAAAAACAAAGGGUCUCCCUAGGGAUUGCACAUCUAAGUGACUAAAUCAAGCAUACAAAGGAAAAAAAAUACCCACACAAAUCUCGCGUAAAAUCAAUGACAUGGGACUUGGAUGUGCAAUACGUAUGGCACAUCUAGAUGUGCUUUAGCAAAACUGACAAAGGAAAUAAAAAAAACGUAAGUUAGCCAUAAUAGUGGGUGUAUGUUUGACCAUAAGUUUGCCUUAUGUAAAUGGCAUGCAUGAGAAACAAAAUUUGACAUACCUUAAAACAUGAAAAGAAAACUUAACAUUGAACUUAAAUUGUCAUUGUUUUAUAAAGAUGAUGGCCAAAAUUUGAAUUUUAUUAUGAAAAUAGUCUCAUGAAACAAAUUUGCCAUGUGGAUAUUCAAAAAAUAAAUUUGCCAUGGUGUCAAAAAAUGAAUUUGCAAUGGUUUCUGCAACAAAUUUGGCACGCUCUGAAAAUAUAAUUGACCAUGGUCCAAAAUAUGAAUUUUCUAUGGUACCAAAAAUGAACUUGCCAUGGCCAAAUAUAUAAGUUUUCCAUGAUAGAGAACAAAAACAAUUUGUUAUGGUCUAAUUUUUUUUUACCAUAGAUUGUUCGAUACAAUUUUCAUGGAUUGUUAGAAACAUGAUAGAGGAAAUUUUACCAUGCAUUGUUCGAUAAAUUUGUCGUGCUUCAAAAAGAAAAUUACAAAAUGGUUAAAAAGCUUAAUUUGCCGUUGUUCAUAUAGUAUAUUUGCCAUCAACUAUAAAGUAAAUUUGCCAUGGUGCAAAGGAAAAAAUGGCUAUGGUACAAAAAAUCAUGACAAAUUUGAUUGUCGUGGUACACAAGUUUGCCGUUAUAACUCCAAAAUUGGGGUCCACUAAUUUAGAAAAUGUGAGUUUCCAUGUGGCCACAAAUUUCAAAAUUGCCAUAUGUGUGGAACAAAAAUUUGUAUAGUUACCAUUUGAGCAUUAACAUGUUUUCUAAAAUUUGCCAUGCUUUGAGAUUGCCAUGUGAUUACAAGAAAGAUUUUUUUUUUAACUUUGCCAUGAGUGGGGAGGGGAAAAAAAUCCUAGAGUUGUCAUGUGAUAGUUAUUUUUUUCUAAAAUUGCCGUGUUUUGAAAAAAAAAAGGAUGUUUCGAAAUUGUCAUGUGACCAUAAGAAACAAUUCUCAAAAUUUUGCCAUUUGUGGAGAGCAAAAUAUCCUAUAGUUGCCUCGCAAGCGCUAAAAUUUCCUACAUUUGUCACGUACUCUUAGCAACAAUUCCUAGAAUUGUCAUGUCUUACACACCAAAAAAGCGAAAAAAUGCCAUCUAAAACAUGUUUUUUUUGCCGUGUGAAACAUUACCAGAAUGUGUAAAAUUUGCCAUGUGACAUGUUUUCGAAUUUCAUAAACUUCCCCAUGUGGACAUUACAGAAACCUAUGAACUUCCCAUGUACCUAACACAGAAUUUUGCGAUGUCAUGUAUAAGAUUUGCCAUGCCAUGGCAUGUAGAAAAAUCCAUAGAGAAUUUGCCGUGAGAACAGGAAUGUUUAGUCGCAAUCACAAAAGGAAUUUGCCAUGUAGAAAAAUCCAUAGAGAAUUUGCCAUGAGAACAAGAAUAUUUAGUUGCCAUCAUAAAAGGAAUUUGCCAUGGCAAAAUGUUGAGACGAAUAAAAAAUUGAGACACACAAAGAAAUGCCUGAUGCAUCGCAAAUGAACAAAGCUAUUUUUUCCCUAAAAAAUCAUGGCAAUUUCGUGAUAAAAAAUGGAGACAUGACAAAUGCUAUAAAUCAUUGAUGGCAAAUUCAAAACUAAGUGUAAUGUUCACAUCAUAUGAAAAAUGAGUGGGCAACUCAUACACAUGCAUGAUGGCAAAAUGAACCAAGCAGUAGAUCAUAGCUAAAAUCAUCAUUGAUGGCAAUUUCAGAACUAAGCGUGAUGUUCACAUCAUAUGGAAAAUGAGUGGGCAGCUCAUACAUAUGCAUGAUGGCAAAAUGAACAAAGAAGUAGACAAUAGCUAAAAUCAUAUAAAUUUACCACACAAAUCGUAUAAAGAAUACAAACAUUUUCAAAACGUACUAGCAUACUUUAUAGAGCACAAUUCCUUGUCAUGUAGUCGGUCCAUUCACUCUACACAAAUUAGCGCAAAUAAUCGGUGAGCAAGGCAAGAGGAAGCCGACCACGUUGUUCUGUAGGCUGGGUUGCUCAUCUCCGGCCUCAGAAAAGAAAAACACACACACACACACACCAUGUAUGGAUGAGGGUAGGCCUCACACCGACGAACUCACUGAUGAUGCUCAAUCAACGUGCACACCACACAACGGUGUCUUGUGCUCCUUCGUGAGGAAGGAAAGCACAUCAGGGAGAGGGAAGAAGAGCAAAUCGUCGAAACCGGACCAAGGCGGGUGCGGGGCAGCCACAUGGAGAGGAGAAGAAAGGCGAGAGUGGGGGAGAGGACCUUGACGUCAACUCCAUGGCGUAGGGGGUGUCAGGGGAGCACGGACCAGGCGAGCCCUCUCCUGAGAUGGAACAAGUCUUCCCUGCCAGGGAAGGCGGGGCGCUAACAUCUAGUCCUAGAGGCUGUUUCUGGCCAGGGCAUCGAGGCCGACAUUCUCAAUGUAGUCGAGGUGGACAACUAAGUUGGAGGUGGGGGGUUAGGCGGCUGGGGGAGAAGGAAGGAGGGGGUCAAUCAUCCUAGCAUCGAAAGUACUUCUCGUCAUCUAGGCAAGAACGAAAACAAUUCAGGGAUACAAAUCUAUUUUUUUGGAAAUAUAGGGGCCUCUUGGAUUGAAGGAUUUUCAAAGGAAUAUUGGAGGGUUCCAAUCCAUUGAAUUCUUUCCUAAGGUAGGCCUUUGGAUCAAAGGAACAACACCUCCAAAAUUCCCUAUGGAUUGCAUUCCUACCCCUCAAUCAUAUAGGAAUUUCAACAUCCACUAUAACCUCUUUUUUUUUACACCGAUUCGUGUAGGAUCGAGGCACUUUCCUGUGUUCCAUCCAAAUGACCAUUCUUACAGUUUUCCUCUGUUUUGCACCUACAAUCCCGUCAAACUCUUGUGUUUUGUAAUCAUGUGAUCCAAAGAAGCCCUAGAAGGUUUUGGGGCUCUGCUAGAUGAGCUUAGGCCUCCUUGGUUCAUAGGAUAAAAGGUUUUGGGGCUCUGCUAGGUGAGCUUAGGCCUCCUUGGUUCAUAGGAUAGAAGGUUUUGGGGCUCUGCUACAUGAGCUUAGGCCUUCUUGGAUCAUAGGAUAGAAAAGUCAUACAAAAUGAGGUGACAUGUAUCUGAAAUCCUAUGAAUAGGAAUAGAAAAGAUGAUGCCCUUCACAUCAUAGAAUUUUUUUCACCGAGUCUAGGCUAAUGUUUAUUAGCCUAUAGAAAGAAUUCUCCAUAUGGAUAGGAUUCUAUUCCUACAAACCAAAGGAAUUUUCUCUAUACACCUCAUAUCCUAUGAGAUUCCUAUAAAAUUCCUACAAACCAAAUUUAAUUCCUACACUCCCCAUUUAUUAUAGCUUCUAGGGGAUGCCCUCAUAAGCAUGGGGUCUGCUUCAUGCCUCUGAAAUCGAACGGCAAUCCGUAACCAUCGGCCAUGGGACGUCAUUACAGCCAUAACUCGUAAUACAGACCAACAGAAGUUGGCUAACUAAACCGCUGAUCAUAUUAUGAGAGCAAACCAAUACGGUAGGAACCACCGAGAGAAUCCAAAUAAGUUGACACAGACGGCAAUAGCAAUGCUGGAGAUUAUAGCAGAUAGACUGAGCAGAACAAGCACAAAGAUAAUCCACCACAUGAGCAAUCGCACACAAGCAGCUAGUUCCCAAUUCUCAAACUCAUAAAACCAUUACCCGUUACAACAUUUGUUGAGUCUAGGGAGAAAUUCAACUGCCAUGACACAUGUGUCUUAUGGAUUACACAAGUCACAAAUAUAAGAUGACGACAUAAUGGCAGCACGAUUUAACAUAACAGUCUUGCAAAAUAUAGCUGAAAAAACACAAAGACCUAGUAGACAAGACACCAUCACCAGUCCAAGCCUCUGAAGAACUGUGUCGCAGAGGCCCAUCACACUGAAAGGUCUUGAUAAAUCAU